Anthonomus grandis grandis is the source of this 1408-nucleotide long non-coding RNA. RefSeq lists it as uncharacterized. NCBI's taxonomy places the organism in Eukaryota, Metazoa, Arthropoda, Insecta, Coleoptera, Curculionidae. The transcript has 2 exons. The record is from RefSeq and is a predicted model, not a curated record.
UGUCAGUUGAACAGUUACCUUCAAAAAAUAGUCCAGGAUUAAUGUUGGUUUUUGUCCCAGUUUUUUUUGAUCGCGAUGGACAAAAAUGUUCUUGCCGAUAUAUCAAACACAAGCUCUGACUUAAACAGAUCAAGCCUUCCCAAUGUAGAGUUAUUGGAUAAUUUUGUGUUUUCACAAGAGAAAAAUUCAAGCUUGUGUAUUGAAAAUGAUAGAGAAGCGUCUCCUUCCUGUCGCCUGCUGUUUGAUCCUGAGGACAAGGAUGAUGACAUUGCAGAUCCGGAUUAUAUACUCUCAAGGGAGGAACAACAGAAUAUCAAUAUGGAUAGUGACUCAGAUUUAGAAGUACGAGACGUGACUUUUAAUAAUAUAGAAGAGACAGGUGAUAACAUAGAAGAAAUAGGUGAUAGCAUAGAAGAGAUCGGUGAAGCUGAUAGUCAAGAGGAUACAGAAUCAGAUGUAAAAGAAAAUAGACUCGAAAUAUAGAAUAAAAAGCGACCACGUACUUCAAAAGAAAAAGUUAUAAGAAAUAAAAAUAAACAUCCUAUCGGGCCUCCCACCUGGAACUGCAGGACUAAAAAAUGCCUUAAUGCAUACGAUUCAGACAAAAGAAAAGACUUGCAUACACGAUUUUGGUCAUUAGAUAAGGAUUUACAAACGAUGUGGCUUUAUAAGCAAAUUCACGAAACUUAAGCGAAACGUAAGCAUCUGGAAAGUCGUAGAAAUUGUUCUAGAACAUAUACCUUGCCAAAAAUUAACGCAAACGGUGAAGCCGAGCAGGUAAAAAAUAUGCCAAAAAUUUUUUGUGACAACUUUGGGGUACAAAAGUACGAUGGUGGUAGACUAUAAGUUAAAAAACAAUAAUGAUUCUCAUGGUACACAAAUAGCAACUCCCUUAUUAGCAGACCAAAGAGAAAAACGGACUCCAGCAAAUAAAAAAAGCAAAACUCCAAUUAAAGACCGUAUAAAUUCCUAUAAACCCAAACCAUCACAUUAUAGAAGAGCACACGGGCCAAAUAGAAAGUACCUAGCCAGCUGAAUUGUCUAUAAGGGAUUUGUACAAAGACUAUAACGAAAAAUAUCUUCCUUUUUAAAAACUUCUAUCUUUCUUACGCUUCCAAGAAUAUAUUUUUUUAGUUCCUAUUUUGGUUCCUUAUUAAAAAAAAUCGUAUUUGUAUACUUUACACCUAUUUUGUUAAUUAAAUCGACAUUAUUGGUACAAAUUCUAAAUAUACAAAUACGGUUAAGUUUUAAAACCUUGAACCUAAGAGUUUUUUUUUUAAUUAUUUUAACAAUUUUGUUUAGAGUUUUUUUUUAUAUUUUUAUUUUUUUUUUAUAGUUUUUAUAAAAAUCUUUUCUGCGAAAAUUAAUUUUAAGUUCCAGCAAGUUUAUAUUAAAAAAUUAGUAUAUU